AUUGAACGCUGGCGGCAUGCCUUACACAUGCAAGUCGAACGGCAGCACGGGGGCAACCCUGGUGGCGAGUGGCGAACGGGUGAGUAAUACAUCGGAACGUAUCCUGUAGCGGGGGAUAACCUCUCGAAAGAGAGGCUAAUACCGCAUACGACCUACGGGUGAAAGAGGGGGAUCGCAAGACCUCUCACUAUUGGAGCGGCCGAUGUCGGAUUAGCUAGUUGGUGGGGUAAAAGCCACCAAGGCUACGAUCCGUAGCUGGUCUGAGAGGACGACCAGCCACACUGGAACUGAGACACGGUCCAGACUCCUACGGGAGGCAGCAGUGGGGAAUUUUGGACAAUGGGCGCAAGCCUGAUCCAGCCAUGCCGCGUGGGUGAAGAAGGCCU
Molecule: ribosomal RNA, 386 nt
Filed under: uncultured bacterium
Lineage: Bacteria
Description: bacterial SSU rRNA
Rfam family: Bacterial small subunit ribosomal RNA
Source: RNAcentral